GUGCUCGGUUUGGUAGCACAUGUACUAAAAUUGGAACAAUGCAGAGAUUAGCACGGUGGCCCCUUUGCAAGGAUGACAAAUUUAUGAAACAUUCAUUCUCUUU
Molecule: small nuclear RNA, 103 nt
Organism: Mastomys coucha (southern multimammate mouse)
Lineage: Eukaryota; Metazoa; Chordata; Mammalia; Rodentia; Muridae
Source: RefSeq, a predicted model, not a curated record